This 975-nucleotide ribosomal RNA is filed under the name Salmonella enterica. Its description in RNAcentral is "partial 23S ribosomal RNA". It matches the Rfam family "Bacterial large subunit ribosomal RNA", at positions 711 to 1600 of the family's 2925-position model. Lineage: Bacteria; Pseudomonadati; Pseudomonadota; Gammaproteobacteria; Enterobacterales; Enterobacteriaceae. RNAcentral also lists the same sequence under 1 other name. The record is from RNAcentral.
AGACCCGAAACCCGGUGAUCUAGCCAUGGGCAGGUUGAAGGUUGGGUAACACUAACUGGAGGACCGAACCGACUAAUGUUGAAAAAUUAGCGGAUGACCUGUGGCUGGGGGUGAAAGGCCAAUCAAACCGGGAGAUAGCUGGUUCUCCCCGAAAGCUAUUUAGGUAGCGCCUCGUGAAUUCAUCUCCGGGGGUAGAGCACUGUUUCGGCUAGGGGGCCAUCCCGGCUUACCAACCCGAUGCAAACUGCGAAUACCGGAGAAUGUUAUCACGGGAGACACACGGCGGGUGCUAACGUCCGUCGUGAAGAGGGAAACAACCCAGACCGCCAGCUAAGGUCCCAAAGUCAUGGUUAAGUGGGAAACGAUGUGGGAAGGCCCAGACAGCCAGGAUGUUGGCUUAGAAGCAGCCAUCAUUUAAAGAAAGCGUAAUAGCUCACUGGUCGAGUCGGCCUGCGCGGAAGAUGUAACGGGGCUAAACCAUGCACCGAAGCUGCGGCAGCGAACGUAUCACCCAAGACAACUUUACGGAGUUGACGAUUGACGGAGCGAAGCGACGUCAAAGCGUUCAUUAAAGUCGAGUUGGCUUAGGGAUACGUUCGUUGGGUAGGGGAGCGUUCUGUAAGCCUGUGAAGGUGUGUCGUGAGGCAUGCUGGAGGUAUCAGAAGUGCGAAUGCUGACAUAAGUAACGAUAAAGCGGGUGAAAAGCCCGCUCGCCGGAAGACCAAGGGUUCCUGUCCAACGUUAAUCGGGGCAGGGUGAGUCGACCCCUAAGGCGAGGCCGAAAGGCGUAGUCGAUGGGAAACGGGUUAAUAUUCCCGUACUUGGUGUUACUGCGAAGGGGGGACGGAGAAGGCUAUGUUGGCCGGGCGACGGUUGUCCCGGUUUAAGCGUGUAGGUGUGUGUUCCAGGUAAAUCCGGUUCACUUUAACACUGAGGCGUGAUGACGAGGCACUACGGUGCUGAAGCAACAAAUGC